RNAcentral lists this ribosomal RNA (253 nucleotides) under uncultured bacterium. Its description in RNAcentral is "partial 16S ribosomal RNA". It matches the Rfam family "Bacterial small subunit ribosomal RNA", at positions 524 to 776 of the family's 1533-position model. The record is from RNAcentral.
UACGAAGGGGGCUAGCGUUGUUCGGAAUUACUGGGCGUAAAGGGCGCGUAGGCGGUGUGUCAAGUCAGGCGUGAAAGCCCCGGGCUCAACCUGGGAACCGCGCUUGAGACUGGCACGCUAGAGUUCGGGAGAGGAUGGUGGAAUUCCCAGUGUAGAGGUGAAAUUCGUAGAUAUUGGGAAGAACACCGAUGGCGAAGGCAGCCAUCUGGACCGACACUGACGCUGAGGCACGACAGCGUGGGGAGCGAACAGG